Molecule: transfer RNA, 82 nt
Filed under: Gemmatimonadota bacterium
Lineage: Bacteria; Pseudomonadati; Gemmatimonadota
Description: tRNA-Leu
Rfam family: tRNA
About the family: Transfer RNA (tRNA) molecules are approximately 80 nucleotides in length. Their secondary structure includes four short double-helical elements and three loops (D, anti-codon, and T loops).
Source: RNAcentral
GCGAAAGUGGCGGAACUGGUAGACGCACUAGCCUUAGGAGCUAGCGGAGCAAUCCAUCCGGGUUCGAGUCCCGGCUUUCGCA